Molecule: non-coding RNA, 21 nt
Filed under: Rattus norvegicus (Norway rat)
Lineage: Eukaryota; Metazoa; Chordata; Mammalia; Rodentia; Muridae
Source: RNAcentral
CAGAAAACAAUGGGCUGGAGU